Molecule: non-coding RNA, 128 nt
Organism: Pelobates cultripes (western spadefoot toad)
Lineage: Eukaryota; Metazoa; Chordata; Amphibia; Anura; Pelobatidae
Source: the annotation of a GenBank genome assembly
UCCAAAAAGUUACCGGCACUCACGGUUUUCUCAAUUAGUAUCUCUUUAUUCCAAAAAUAAUAUCGAUAUUAUUUUUGGAAUAAAGAGAUACUAAUUGAGAAAACCGUGAGUGCCGGUAACUUUUUGGA